Molecule: long non-coding RNA, 285 nt
Organism: Amyelois transitella
Lineage: Eukaryota; Metazoa; Arthropoda; Insecta; Lepidoptera; Pyralidae
Exons: 4
Source: RefSeq, a predicted model, not a curated record
AACUGAAUCUGAGUACUGUGAAGUUCGUCCGGUUUACCGCCGUACGAGACAAGCUACGAGCGCCGCCGUUCAAACAUAGUAGCGGAAAUCGUAUGGUCAAAGAACCCGGUUUACGACGUGGGAACGCCAAAGGACAGUCUUCUCAUGUGCAGCAACAAUUUUCGAUAACAGUCGUAGAAGAUGGCCGUAACGACUUGGUACCAGCCAAGAGAAACGGAUUUACUAAUAAACAAACCGCAAUGAUCCAACACUAAGGAAGAAAAAUUACAUAGCCCAAUCUCAAAC